Molecule: unclassified non-coding RNA, 455 nt
Filed under: Hevea brasiliensis (rubber tree)
Lineage: Eukaryota; Viridiplantae; Streptophyta; Magnoliopsida; Malpighiales; Euphorbiaceae
Source: RNAcentral
AAAUUCUUUUCUGUUGAGAGAAAUCCAUUUUCCUCCAACAGAAAUGGUACCCGCCAACCCCACCAUUGUAUUGUUUCCUACCUGAGGAAAUUUCCCAUUUGGCUUCUAUCUCUCUCUCCCUUUUCCUUUCUUUCUCUUUCUAGUUAGUUUCUAUCUUUUCUAUCUUCCUUUCUUGUUUUGGUAUAGAAUCAUCUCCAAACUCACACACACUCACCUUUUCCUUGGUAGGUUGGUAGGUUCUUUCAUUCAUUCUUUCUUUCUUUUUCUAUGUGUAUAAAGCAAGAAUCAUAAUGGGUUCUUCUUCUAAAGGAGGGAAUAAUAGUUAUGAUUACUCUUUCAAGAUUUUGUUGAUUGGAGAUUCUGGGGUUGGCAAGAGUAGUAUCCUUCUCAGUUUCAUCUCCAAUUCUGUUCAUGAUCUCUCUCCUACAAUCGGUGUUGAUUUCAAGAUCAAGAUG